RNAcentral lists this ribosomal RNA (116 nucleotides) under Mycobacterium simiae. Lineage: Bacteria; Bacillati; Actinomycetota; Actinomycetes; Mycobacteriales; Mycobacteriaceae. The record is from RNAcentral.
GUUACGGCGGCCACAGCGACAGGGAAACGCCCGGUCCCAUUCCGAACCCGGAAGCUAAGCCUGUCAGCGCCAAUGAUACUGCCCUUUGGGUGGAAAAGUAGGACACCGCCGAACAU